AAAGUUGGGGGCUUGAAGACGAUCAGAUACCAUCCUAGUCUCAACCAUAAACUAGGGAUUGGCAAAUAUUAUUUAGAUGACACCACUAGCACCUCAUGAGAAAUCAAAGUCUUUGGGU
This 118-nucleotide non-coding RNA is filed under the name Selaginella moellendorffii. RNAcentral describes it as "rRNA SSU_rRNA_eukarya". It matches the Rfam family "Eukaryotic small subunit ribosomal RNA", at positions 986 to 1112 of the family's 1831-position model. The record is from Rfam by way of RNAcentral. Lineage: Eukaryota; Viridiplantae; Streptophyta; Lycopodiopsida; Selaginellales; Selaginellaceae.